RNAcentral lists this ribosomal RNA (468 nucleotides) under uncultured bacterium. RNAcentral's name for it is "partial 16S ribosomal RNA". It matches the Rfam family "Bacterial small subunit ribosomal RNA", at positions 28 to 507 of the family's 1533-position model. The record is from RNAcentral.
GACGAACGCUGGCGGCGUGCUUAACACAUGCAAGUCGAACGGAAAGGCCCUGCUUUUGUGGGGUGCUCGAGUGACGAACGGGUGAGUAACACGUGAGUAACCUGCACUUGACUUUGGGAUAACUUCAGGAAACUGGGGCUAAUACCGGAUAGGAGCUCCUGCUGCAUGGUGGGGGUUGGAAAGUUUCGGCGGUUGGGGAUGGACUCGCGGCUUAUCAGCUUGUUGGUGUGGUAGUGGCUUACCAAGGCUUUGACGGGUAGCCGGCCUGAGCGGGUGACCGGCCACGUUGGGACUGAGAUACGGCCCAGACUCCUACGGUAGGCAGCAGUGGGGAAUAGUGCACUAUGGGCGGAAGCCUGAUGUAGCAACGCCGCGUGCGGGAUGACGGCCUUCGGGUUGUAAACCGCUUUCGCCUGUGACGAAGCGUGAGUGACGGUAAUGGGUAAAGAAGCACCGGCUAACUACGUG